CGGGCAGAUCACGUUGAAACACCGUUUCCCGUACGAUCACCGAAGUUAAGCAAUGCCAAGGCUGGUCAAUACCUAGAUGGGUGACUGAUCGGGAAUACCAGGUGCCGUAAG
Acanthosepion pharaonis is the source of this 111-nucleotide non-coding RNA. The record is from the annotation of a GenBank genome assembly. NCBI's taxonomy places the organism in Eukaryota, Metazoa, Mollusca, Cephalopoda, Sepiida, Sepiidae.